CAGACCUGGGAAAUCCGAGAAGGAUACAGGAGGGGGUGGGUAGUCAGAAAAAAGGUCAAGCAAGGGUAGGGAGAGAAAUUUCAGUCAGAAAACCUUCUGUACAAUGCCAGCUUCCCGUUUCCCCCGUUCCUUUCUGAUUAUCCCUUUGGUUCUUUCCUGCACUGUUCUGCUCGUUCCACAGGGGAAUGACUGAGACUAAACAAUGAUCAGUUCAGCUGUCCAAUACAGGAUGCCCCUUCCCCUUCAGCAGUCUUUCUGCAGCAAGAGGAUAAAGCUCAACAUUAUCCCCAGGCAGUUAAUGAAUUAAACUCAGCAUUUUCAAUUGCCUCAUACAUCAGAGGCUUACUGCUCAUACAGAGAAGUAGCCAGGAGAGAACAGAACAGACCUGCUGUCCUUCUGCUGUUUUAUUAGCCAAGUUCUUGCCUGUCCCAAGUCAGCCACUACCAACUUCCUAACAAUAAAAUACCCAGGACCUCUAAGCCAUUUGUUUUCACUUAUUGUGAACUUUGGAAAUCUCUAACAAUAGUACAUUCAUUUAAUUUUUACUGCAUUUUUACAUUUCACAGUUUCCAACAAAACCACAAUGGCAUCAUCUUUGUGCUGUCAGAGUUUGUGAAGCACUAGGCAAUAAUACAACAGUAUAUUCAUUUAUCUACUUAAAGUGCCAAAAACCCUCCAGGGCAGCAGAAUAAUCAUCUCCUUCACCACAUUAAUAUGUCAGGAUCUCAAACAAUGAGUAUAACUGACAAGAUUUCAUCCUCUUUGCAGGACUACAGCACAGAGGGAACAACACAGCAGCACCAGGCACCAGCUCUGCCCUCCUGCUGUGGCUGAGAACAUUUCUCCUGCUGUAUUACAGCUCCAAGUAAUCCACCACAUUGGAGAUGAGCACAUAUUUUCUACUAUGAAACAGUCACUGACUGUAGUUCAUCUCAUCUUUUACAACAGGUCAGGGCAGCAAUCCCAGGAGCCAUAAGCAACACAAGAAAAAAACCACCAGCUCCAGUCAGUAAAGAUGAAGGCUAAAAAAGAACUGUAUUAUCAAGGAUUCCAGAGUACUAAGAUAUAUUUUGAUCAAGACUGCUGAAGAUGACAAUAAUUUGGAAAUACAGAGAUUUCCUGGUGGUCUACCCCUUCUUACUGACUUUUGCAACUGGAUCACACUCUUCCCCACAUGGCAACAUGUUUAUGAAACCAUACACUGAACAGAUACCUGUUUACAAAUCUAACCCAGCAAAAAUGAUCAAGUUUUAAAAAAAUCAGGUUCUGGUUCAUAGUAUGAUUGAAUUGAAGAUAUCUCUGCUCACUGAGGGGGUAGGACUAGGUGACCUUUGAUAGUCCCUUCCAACUCAAACUAUGCUAUGGUUCUAUAUAGUGCCAUAAAUUCUUGUACUAGCAAUAAGGAAGGGCAGCAGGAACAUAAAGAUCCAAUUACCUUUUAGGAAACUGGUACUGAUGGUUUUGCUAAAGGUGUGGUUUAGACUAUAGAACAGCCCUGAAAGUAACAAUUAAAUCUUUCCAUGAGGAAACAAAUCUAUAGUUCUACAAUCUAUCUCCUGAUCUGCAGCACCCUAACAUAAAUCCUGCGACUUGAAGUCAACCAAAUCUGGGUAGUUUUUUACUCCCAACCCUUUUUUUUUUUUUUUGCCAUUGCUAAUCAAAUUACUGAAGAUCACUAACAGAUGGAAUUUGUGCUCAAACAAGUGAAAUAUCCAACUGGACCUGUUGGUCACUGCAUGAAGCAAGUCCUAAAGAGGGUGAUACCAAGAGAGAAAGAGCUACUUGCCCGUCUGCUGUGGACCAAGGCUCCCUGUUCAUCCACAGGCUCCUCCUUCUCCCCUUCUUGUUUCUCCUCCUUCUCUGGCACCUGAGAUAGAAACCCAGAUUAAAUAACCCCGUACUGUUUCAAAGUUACCAAGAUUUCUAUGGUAAUUUAAGGCACUAAAUAAAGGUUUAAAAAAAGGUUUCCUGCAGUUUCUGUUCUGAAGAUUCCAAUGCUAUUGGAUCAGACUCCUGCAGCACUGAAUGAUAACAUAUAUAACAAGGGGACAAAGAUUUUACCUCAUUGUCACUGACUGCUGCAGGUCCCUCAGGAACUUCCUCAGUUUGCUGACUGCCGUUCUCAUCCGACGCAAUGCUCUGCUGCUCCAUUUCUAGCUCCUUUCUCCGGGCCUUUCUCCGGCGAGUUUCUGCCCCAAUCAGUGUGCCUAAAACAGGUGGAGGUAGGUGUUCUGCAGCAUUUGGGCUACGUUUCUGCACAGGGCAAUUCCGGUUCCCCUUGUGACACGCACAGUCCACUUUAUAAUUGCUGCUCCAAAACACAAACAUAAUUCGUGUCACUCUUCAUUUCUCAACCCCUGCACAGAGACAUUCAAUACAUCUCCUACUAAACAUCUCACCACGUGCCAAAGCAAGGACAGCAGGCUACCUUAUGGCCUCUAUUGUAGAAUAUGCCAGCAGAACUGGACAGAAUAGCCGGGAAAUGCAAUUCAGUAGAAAACGGAGCAAUAUGUAGAAUGCGAGGAAAGGGCUGGAGGAAGAUGUCCAGUCCAGGAGGGCAGUGGAGAGCUCCUGGGCGAGGUGAAGGACUCACCAGAUGUUGUACUCAUAGUCAAAGGCGAUGGUAACCUCUGUGUCCUUGGCAAUGGUGGCAACAGCAUAGAUGCACAGGUGGAUCAUCCCAUCAGCAAUCACAUGGCGAACCUUGUUAAACGAAGCAGAAAGAAGCUGACGUCUCCACAGGUUGCAUUUCCCACUUCCAAGACGGAAGUCUCCUUUUGCAAAGUAGCUCUUAUUCUACUCUAGGAAUAAUUAUCCCAAAUUCUCCAUAGGGAAAAGCCUGCUUCACUGCUCUUGUCUCAUACUGUGCUUUUCCACUCACAACUACUACCACCUGCUUACCCUCUGUACUAUUGUACCAUUAUGCAGCCAAAGGAAAGACAUAAAAGAAAUCUUUCUCUUCCAAAAAAACCUCCCUCAUGUUCCCAAACUGUCUCAUAUUCCAAGUAUAAACCAUCAAACAAGCAAGAGACACAGAGAAUUUACUGCAUUUAGUGCAUUUUAAGUUAGGGAAAGCACUAAGCUUAUGUAAAACAUGUAUUUGCAAUUACAGUGAUGAUGAAGAGAGAAUUUACCUCUGCGUUUGGGGUGCAGGACCGCCUGAUGAACCUGGCAUCAUUACCAAAGGUGCGGGCAUCAACACACAUCUCAACGCCAUUGAAC
Long non-coding RNA from Passer domesticus (house sparrow), 3223 nucleotides. RefSeq lists it as uncharacterized. The record is from RefSeq and is a predicted model, not a curated record. NCBI's taxonomy places the organism in Eukaryota, Metazoa, Chordata, Aves, Passeriformes, Passeridae. The transcript has 2 exons.